UACGUAGGGACCAAGCGUUGUUCGGAUUUACUGGGCGUAAAGGGCGCGUAGGCGGCGUGACAAGUCACUUGUGAAAUCUCUGGGCUUAACCCAGAACGGCCAAGUGAAACUGUUGUGCUAGAGUGCAGAAGGGGCAAUCGGAAUUCUCGGUGUAGCGGUGAAAUGCGCAGAUAUCAGGAGGAACACCGGUGGCGAAGGCGGGUCUCUGGGCCGAUACUGACGCUGAGGAGCGAAAGCGUGGGGAGCGAACAGG
Molecule: ribosomal RNA, 253 nt
Filed under: uncultured bacterium
Lineage: Bacteria
Description: partial 16S ribosomal RNA
Rfam family: Bacterial small subunit ribosomal RNA
Source: RNAcentral